CGGGGAGGCCGAGGCGAGAGGUUACCCUCCUGGCGAGAGCGCCGCGCCACUAGUCAACCAUCCCUAAACUUUCCCGCAGCCGCGGCGUUCGCGAGAUCGGCCCGGUGGGCGGAAGCGGACAGUGCCCGAGUGCUUCUGGAUGGGUCUUCCUUAUCCUAGGAUUGCUCGCCAUCCUCAAGCUUGAAAACCCACUUAAAACCAUUUGAGGGGCCUUUUUAAGUGGUGAGUUGGACAUAGCUGAAGGCUAUGGCUGUCCUCUUCCCAGGCGUCUUCCUCUGAGGCUGGCAAAAUAAUGGAGAAACGAUACUGAUUGUAUGAAAGCAUCCCUUUCGGCCAACUCCUGUCUUCCUGGGAAGGCCCCCUGGAAGAAACAGCUGAAGAAGUUGAAGCUGAAGAGUUCCAGUGCCUUGCCGAGACCAUUCUGUUGGCUGGGGGAAUACAUCCCUGCCUAGCUGGAGGAAAGGAGGAGAGCAUCC
This is a long non-coding RNA of Bubalus bubalis (water buffalo), 476 nucleotides long. RefSeq lists it as uncharacterized. Lineage: Eukaryota; Metazoa; Chordata; Mammalia; Artiodactyla; Bovidae. The transcript is spliced from 4 exons. The record is from RefSeq and is a predicted model, not a curated record.